AUGAACGCUGGCGGCGUGCCUAAUACAUGCAAGUCGAGCGAACAGAUGAGGAGCUUGCUCCUCUGACGUUAGCGGCGGACGGGUGAGUAACACGUGGAUAACCUACCUAUAAGACUGGGAUAACUUCGGGAAACCGGAGCUAAUACCGGAUAAUAUAUUGAACCCCAUGGUUCAAUAGUGAAAGACGGUUUUGCUGUCACUUAUAGAUGGAUCCGCGCCGCAUUAGCUAGUUGGUAAGGUAACGGCUUACCAAGGCAACGAUGCGUAGCCGACCUGAGAGGGUGAUCGGCCACACUGGAACUGAGACACGGUCCAGACUCCUACGGGAGGCAGCAGUAGGGAAUCUUCCGCAAUGGGCGAAAGCCUGACGGAGCAACGCCGCGUGAGUGAUGAAGGUCUUCGGAUCGUAAAACUCUGUUAUUAGGGAAGAACAAAUGUGUAAGUAACUAUGCACGUCUUGACGGUACCUAAUCAGAAAGCCACGGCUAACUACGUG
This 496-nucleotide ribosomal RNA is filed under the name uncultured bacterium. Its description in RNAcentral is "partial 16S ribosomal RNA". It matches the Rfam family "Bacterial small subunit ribosomal RNA", at positions 29 to 507 of the family's 1533-position model. The record is from RNAcentral.